CUACGGGUCGCAGCAGUGAGGAAUAUUGCACAAUGGGGGGAACCCUGAUGCAGCAACGCCGCGUGGAGGAUGACGCAUUUCGGUGUGUAAACUCCUUUUAUAUGUCAAGAAAAUGACGGUAGCAUAUGAAUAAGCACCGGCUAACUCCGUGCCAGCAGCCGCGGGAAUACGGCGGGUGCAAGCGUUACUCGGAAUCACUGGGCGUAAAGGACGCGUAGGCGGGUUGGAAAGUCAGGUGUGAAAUCCUACAGCUUAACUGUAGAACUGCACUUGAAACUUCUAAUCUAGAGUAUGGGAGGGGGAGAUGGAAUUAGUGGUGUAGGGGUAAAAUCCGUAGAUAUCACUAGGAAUACCUAAAGCGAAGGCGAUCUCCUGGAACAUUACUGACGCUAAGGCGUGAUAGCGUGGGGAGCAAACAGGAUUAGAUACCCCGGUAGUC
This 439-nucleotide ribosomal RNA is filed under the name uncultured bacterium. Its description in RNAcentral is "partial 16S ribosomal RNA". It matches the Rfam family "Bacterial small subunit ribosomal RNA", at positions 339 to 795 of the family's 1533-position model. The record is from RNAcentral.